AGAAGAUACCGCGGGCGCACGGCGGAUGCCUUGGCAUGGGAAGCCGAAGAAGGGCGCGGCAAGCUGCGAUAAGCCCCGGGGAGGCGCAAACGGCCUUCGAUCCGGGGAUUCCCGAAUGGGGGAACCCAGCAGGGGUCAUGCCCUGCUACCCGCACCCGAAU
This 161-nucleotide ribosomal RNA is filed under the name Ellagibacter isourolithinifaciens. RNAcentral describes it as "partial 23S ribosomal RNA". It matches the Rfam family "Bacterial large subunit ribosomal RNA", at positions 1 to 163 of the family's 2925-position model. Lineage: Bacteria; Bacillati; Actinomycetota; Coriobacteriia; Eggerthellales; Eggerthellaceae. The record is from RNAcentral.